This 253-nucleotide ribosomal RNA is filed under the name uncultured bacterium. RNAcentral's name for it is "partial 16S ribosomal RNA". It matches the Rfam family "Bacterial small subunit ribosomal RNA", at positions 524 to 776 of the family's 1533-position model. The record is from RNAcentral.
UACGGAGGGGGCAAGCGUUGUUCGGAAUUACUGGGCGUAAAGCGCGCGUAGGCGGUUACUUAAGUCGGAUGUGAAAGCCCUCGGCUUAACUGAGGAAGUGCACCCGAAACUGAGUAGCUAGAGUACGAAAGAGGGUCGCGGAAUUCCCGGUGUAGAGGUGAAAUUCGUAGAUAUCGGGAGGAACACCGGUGGCGAAGGCGGCGACCUGGGUCGAGACUGACGCUGAGGCGCGAAAGCGUGGGGAGCAAACAGG